UAGCUCCUACGGGGGGCAGCAGUGAGGAAUAUUGGUCAAUGGGCGGGAGCCUGAACCAGCCAAGCCGCGUGAGGGAAGAAGGUACAGCGUAUCGUAAACCUCUUUUGUCAGGGAACAAAGGCGGGGACUAGUCCCCGGAUGAGGGUACCUGAAGAAAAAGCAUCGGCUAACUCCGUGCCAGCAGCCGCGGUAAUACGGAGGAUGCGAGCGUUAUCCGGAUUUAUUGGGUUUAAAGGGUGCGUAGGCGGAAGGUUAAGUCAGCGGUCAAAUGUCGGUGCUCAACACCGGCCUGCCGUUGAAACUGG
Molecule: ribosomal RNA, 305 nt
Filed under: uncultured bacterium
Lineage: Bacteria
Description: bacterial SSU rRNA
Rfam family: Bacterial small subunit ribosomal RNA
Source: RNAcentral